CGGUUGCUGUGUGACCCGACAGGCCGAAUUAUCUCUGGGGCUAUAAAACAUCCUUUGGGAACUACCUCUGCUAGGAUUGCGGUCUUGGUAUAGUGGUGCCCACCUGUAUUAGCAGGCCACAGAGGAUAUUCAGGGCCAUCGAUCAUUACGGCUUCCGC
This 158-nucleotide non-coding RNA is filed under the name Rhodospirillaceae bacterium. Its description in RNAcentral is "6S RNA". It matches the Rfam family "6S / SsrS RNA". From Rfam's summary of the family: E. coli 6S RNA was the first non coding RNA to be sequenced, but its function was unknown until recently. It consists of 184 nucleotides that fold into an extended hairpin structure with a large single-stranded internal bulge. The 6S RNA specifically associates with RNA polymerase holoenzyme containing the sigma70 specificity factor. The record is from RNAcentral. Lineage: Bacteria; Pseudomonadati; Pseudomonadota; Alphaproteobacteria; Rhodospirillales; Rhodospirillaceae.